UGAUCUUGUAUAUCUUUCUUCUUCUUUGUU
This 30-nucleotide non-coding RNA is filed under the name Mus musculus (house mouse). The record is from RNAcentral. Lineage: Eukaryota; Metazoa; Chordata; Mammalia; Rodentia; Muridae.